Non-coding RNA from Zea mays, 189 nucleotides. The record is from Rfam. Lineage: Eukaryota; Viridiplantae; Streptophyta; Magnoliopsida; Poales; Poaceae.
GUACCUUUCUCAUCAUUUUGGCUAAGGUAAAGUGUAAUUUUGUUCUUAUCAGUUUAAUAUAUGAUAUGCAGAUCUUACGUUCACUUUGAUAUUAAAUUUAUUUUUUAUGAGUAUCAGAUAUGAUCGUGUGCCGUUGUAGCGCAUAGAGAUCUAAAAAGUUUUUGUUCCAAUGCAGACAACCUAGCCUAG